UUUCCUUUGCCUUGCACAAUCCUACAGGAG
RNAcentral lists this non-coding RNA (30 nucleotides) under Mus musculus (house mouse). Lineage: Eukaryota; Metazoa; Chordata; Mammalia; Rodentia; Muridae. The record is from RNAcentral.